Molecule: ribosomal RNA, 120 nt
Organism: Bison bison bison
Lineage: Eukaryota; Metazoa; Chordata; Mammalia; Artiodactyla; Bovidae
Source: Ensembl
GUCUCAGGCCGUAUCAGCCUGAAGGCGACCGAUCUCGUCUGAUUUCGGAAGCUAAGCAGGGUCGGGCCUGGUUAGUAUCUUGGAUGGGAGACCACCUGGGAAUCCCGGGUGCUCGAGGCU